This 775-nucleotide ribosomal RNA is filed under the name uncultured Neocallimastigales. Its description in RNAcentral is "partial large subunit ribosomal RNA". It matches the Rfam family "Eukaryotic large subunit ribosomal RNA", at positions 24 to 646 of the family's 3401-position model. Lineage: Eukaryota; Fungi; Neocallimastigomycota; Neocallimastigomycetes; Neocallimastigales. The record is from RNAcentral.
GUAGUCUCGCACAGAUGCAUAUCAAUAAGCGGAGGAAAAGGAAACUAACAAGGAUUCCCCUAGUAACGGCGAGUGAAGCGGGAAGAGCUCAAAUUUGAAAUCUUAAAGGGUUUCCCUUUACGAAUUGUAGUUUAAAGAAGUGUUUUCUGUUGAGGUUUUGGUAAAAGUUCUUUGGAAUAGGACAUCAUAGAGGGUGAGAAUCCCGUAUUUGACCUUUACUUUCAACUUUGUGAUACACUUUCAAAGAGUCGGAUUGUUUGGGAAUGCAGUCCAAAAUGGGUGGUAAAUUUCAUCUAAAGCUAAAUAUUGGCGAGAGACCGAUAGCGAACAAGUACCGUGAGGGAAAGAUGAAAAGAACUUUGAAAAGAGAGUUAAACAGUACGUGAAAUUGUCAAAAGGGAAGCGUUUGACACCAGUGUUGUUUUUCUGAAAAUCAAUUAAAGAACUGUUUAUGCUAAGCUGUUUAGACUUUAUCAGCUAUCUGUUUAGUUUUGAGCUUUUCUUUAAUGCACUUUUCAGUUAACAAGUCAACAUCAAUUUCUUUUGCUGUAAAAAAGCUUGAGGAAGGUGGCUUGAGAUUCGUCUUAAGUGUUUAUAGCCUCUUGCCUAUGCAGUCGGAGAGAUUGAGGUCUGCAGCGUAGAUCCUUCGGGGCUAAAUGCAUUUGUGCUAAGUUAUAGCAUUUUAUAGACAACUUGUUGACUAUGAUUUGUCUUGUAGCUUACUCGCUUAUGUUAUUUUACCUACGCUUAGGAUGUUGAUGUGAUACUGCGAGCA